CUCUGUUCCUGCCAUGAACUUAAAUCAGAUUCUGAACUCAUUGAUUUGUUUUCUUCAUCUCCCACCACUCUCCCUAGUUGUGGACCCUAUACCAUACAGGUCGCGGCAGAUGGGAGAGUCAGGUGGUCCAACUCACGAUGGCUCACUUUACAACGUGUGCUGUAGUGAACUUUGCUGUGAAAUGACUGCUUAACCCACAGACUCAAUUGUUGAAGCUUUCCUUCAGAGACAAUGGACUUCUGUUUCUGCUUCUGCCAGUACCACCUUCAUCACCUCCACCAUAGCUGAGUCCCUUCAGUGGGACUGGGUCAUCAGAGGACCCGAUCUGAGCUACCGCACAUGGAAUCUCCACAUUCGCUCCUCUGAUCUUCACCUGGCACAAGGGCAACACCUUCCUAGGAUGGCAUCAGGCCCUUUUCACAGUCUCAGUCAGACCAGAUGUUCUGGGCUUGGCUUCCUCACCUGACCACUAGGUUCAAUCUCCUGCCCACAGCCUGACUACUGACAUCUGCUGGCAGGAAACCCACCCUGAUCUCUACUGCUUCUUAUAAGACCAGAGGUGGAUUUAAAAAGGGGUGUCCUAGAGCACCGGACUGCUGGAAAAGGGAAUCAGCCUUGGUUUGUCUGUGGUGAGUCGGUUAAGCAAAACGUGUAUUUCCAAAUCCUCUCCCUUCUAUGGUUGUGGGUUUGAUUGCCCAAAGAGAACUUGGGUGAAAUUAAAAAGCAGAAGU
RNAcentral lists this long non-coding RNA (731 nucleotides) under Fukomys damarensis (Damara mole-rat). RNAcentral's name for it is "lncRNA (ENSFDAG00000032383.1)". Lineage: Eukaryota; Metazoa; Chordata; Mammalia; Rodentia; Bathyergidae. The record is from RNAcentral.